GAUGAACGCUGGCGGCGUGCCUAAUACAUGCAAGUCGAGCGAACGGACGAGAAGCUUGCUUCUCUGAUGUUAGCGGCGGACGGGUGAGUAACACGUGGAUAACCUACCUAUAAGACUGGGAUAACUUCGGGAAACCGGAGCUAAUACCGGAUAAUAUUUUGAACCGCAUGGUUCAAAAGUGAAAGACGGUCUUGCUGUCACUUAUAGAUGGAUCCGCGCUGCAUUAGCUAGUUGGUAAGGUAACGGCUUACCAAGGCAACGAUGCAUAGCCGACCUGAGAGGGUGAUCGGCCACACUGGAACUGAGACACGGUCCAGACGCCUACGGGAGGCAGCAGUAGGGAAUCGUCCGCAAUGGGCGAAAGCCUGACGGAGCAACGCCGCGUGAGUGAUGAAGGUCUUCGGAUCGUAAAACUCUGUUAUUAGGGAAGAACAUAUGUGUAAGUAACUGUGCACAUCUUGACGGUACCGAAUCAGAAAGCCACGGCUAACUACGUG
Molecule: ribosomal RNA, 497 nt
Filed under: uncultured bacterium
Lineage: Bacteria
Description: partial 16S ribosomal RNA
Rfam family: Bacterial small subunit ribosomal RNA
Source: RNAcentral